Molecule: ribosomal RNA, 253 nt
Filed under: uncultured bacterium
Lineage: Bacteria
Description: partial 16S ribosomal RNA
Rfam family: Bacterial small subunit ribosomal RNA
Source: RNAcentral
UACGUAGGGACCAAGCGUUGUUCGGAUUUACUGGGCGUAAAGGGCGCGUAGGCGGUGCGGUAAGUCACUUGUGAAAUCUCUGAGCUUAACUCAGAACGGCCAAGUGAUACUGCAGUACUAGAGUGCAGAAGGGGCAAUCAGAAUUCUUGGUGUAGCGGUGAAAUGCGUAGAUAUCAAGAGGAAUACCUGAGGUGAAGACGGGUUGCUAGGCUGACACUGACGCUGAGGCGCGAAAGCCAGGGGAGCAAACAGG